RNAcentral lists this long non-coding RNA (367 nucleotides) under Salvia miltiorrhiza (redroot sage). RNAcentral's name for it is "long non-coding RNA (SMIL_LNC002410)". Lineage: Eukaryota; Viridiplantae; Streptophyta; Magnoliopsida; Lamiales; Lamiaceae. The record is from RNAcentral.
AGCCGCUCUCUCACUCUUACGCCUCUCUCUCCCUCUCGGCUUCCUGCCUGCCGCCGCCACCGGACGGUCGCGCCGUCGCCGGAGGCCGGCGGCUCUACCUCCCUCUCUCCCUCUCACUUCUCGCCCUCUUCCCUCAACUCUAUCUCACUCGAUCGUCUCUCUCUCACUGUUUUCCUCGCGAGCUCCGCCGUGAGCUGCUCCGGCGACCACAGGACAGCCAUGGCCGCCGCCCUUCUCUCCAUCUCACUCUCCAUCGUUGGCCGGACAGCAGCAGCAAAGCCGCCGUUGCCGGCGCCUCCCUCUGCUCACUCAUCUUCUCCCUUCCUCCCUCGGCGGAAUCGAUGCAUGCGCCUCGCCGUGAAGGAGC